RNAcentral lists this long non-coding RNA (1222 nucleotides) under Homo sapiens (human). RNAcentral's name for it is "non-protein coding lnc-CLDN19-3:4". Lineage: Eukaryota; Metazoa; Chordata; Mammalia; Primates; Hominidae. The record is from RNAcentral.
AGAAGGAACGUGACUUCCACGAGGCAGCCGCCGGGCUGGCGGGCCCCACGUUCAGGGUUGUGUCUCGGCUGAAAAAAAGGCACGCCCGAACGCUGGGCAGGGAUUACCCGGCCGGACCCGGGAUUGGAAGGGGGCUCGAAGACGCCUUAGCCCCCCGUGAAGAAAAGGCUUCCCUCCCUCCCAGCUCCAAAUACGGUCCCUGUGAUCUGAGAACAUUACGGCGGGCAUAGAGUCGUCUUUUCUUUAAUGGCCGUGUAGUCGCGGCACAGCCGAGGGUUUCUGGAAUUGCCUUAAACGUAUGCGUUUGAAGAGCGUACCCUUUUGUCGGAGCAGUCACCUUGGAGGGACCACGCAGGCUAUGGCAGCCCGGGUUCAGCAUGUUUAGGGCGAGGGUGUGCUCCAUGGGGACCUGCCUUCUGAUCCGUUUUACCAGGCAUAUAUUUAAAAAAAUGUGUCUUCCUUUCCAAGUAUUCACAUCUUUUUCUACUGACCACAAAUCAGAUUUAAUUCAACUCACAUUUAUUGAACAAGCUAGCCUGUUUUGUUUUUUCACUUUAUUCCUGCAACAGCCACGUGAUAGAGGGAUUACUAUCCACGUUUCACAAACGAUAAAAUUGAGGCUGCCACCUGAUGUUACUGAAGUCCUCCACCCACCUUCUUUCGUUCUUUUUUAAGCGUCUACUAUCGGCUGGGGAUGGAAUAGUUCGCGAGUCAGUUUCUGCCUUCUGAUGGAGGCAGAAAUUUAAACAGCCAACACGGUAAAUACUCCAGAGCUGCAAAACCACGAAGUAUUUUGGGAGUGGAAGCAGGGAGAAGGUGGAGGGCUGACUUUCCGCGCACAGGGUACAGGCGAGAAGAGGUGAGAUCUCGGGAAAUGCAGUCAAGUAGUUCAGUAAGACUCGAAUGUGACAUUGGGUUGCAGAGGUGGGCAGUCACUUAGGUAUAUUUAAUUGGAAAUAUAUCCUGAGGGGAAGAGUGAGAAGAGCAAUUUUAGAGUCAUAAGUAGGGAGGGGCAUCUUUUUAAAAAUGGCUGCGGAGUGGAGAAUGGGUUGCAGAGGGGCAAGGAAUGGAAGUAGAGAAAGCAGUUAGGAGGCUAAUGCAGUAUUCCUUACCCCUACCAAUGCCGUCUAGGCCUGUGAGUUCCACCUCCUAAAGGCGUUCUUGAGUCAGUCCUAAACCCUCUAAAUGUCAAUUCAGAGUCUUUUCAUUCCUACUGUCACUA